Molecule: long non-coding RNA, 397 nt
Filed under: Zalophus californianus (California sea lion)
Lineage: Eukaryota; Metazoa; Chordata; Mammalia; Carnivora; Otariidae
Description: lncRNA (ENSZCAG00015010066.1)
Source: RNAcentral
UGUCUCUUGAGCAAACCCGGCAUCGGUCUAUCAGCCACUUGCUUAACCCCAUGAAGAGUCUCCUCUCCCAAGGGGGGAUCUGACCACACUGUCCCGGGCUUUCCCCUCCAGGGGGCCUCACCGCCUGCAAGAACUCCCACAACAGAGGAGGCUGAGCUGGGGCUGAAGGGCCAUGCUGGUGCUGCUUGGAGUCUCCACCACUGGGAGCAUAGCUCGCCUGGGCGCCGGGCGCUGAGCUGUGCGCUUUCUGUUCUUUAUUGCCUUGAAACGUCACACUGGCCUUAAGAAAUGGAUACUCUUACUACCUUUUGCAGGUGAGUCACCUGAGGCUUAGAGAAGUUAAAUGACGUGCCCAGCAUCACACACCUACCAAUGUCAGACCUGCAACCAGGCCCAA